Molecule: long non-coding RNA, 716 nt
Filed under: Homo sapiens (human)
Lineage: Eukaryota; Metazoa; Chordata; Mammalia; Primates; Hominidae
Description: HSALNT0350593
Source: RNAcentral
AGCGCUGAGGAGGGCACAGGGGACAUGCCUGACUCCGUCUGGGUGCCAGGCCCAGAGCCGGGCAUUUCCCAUAGUCAUCGGCCCCCUGCCCGCCCCCAGCAUGUCGAGGAAGGGAGGAGUAUUUUUAGUUCCAUCUUGAAGACGGGCACAGGAACGGAGAAUAACUGCCUGAAAGCACUGUCCCUGGUCUGAGCGGCCCUUGGAAAGGCUCAGCCUGGGUGAGCUGGAGGCAGGAGGGAGGGAGAGGGCAGGAGAGACAGGGGAGGGACCAGUGAAGGGAGGGGACAGACUCAGCAAGGGGCAGGCUGAGAUCAGAGGGCAGAGGGCAGAGAUGAAAGGGUGAGGCCAAGGAGGGAUGUAGAGAGCUCUGUGCUGUGCUGGGUCUUCCCCCAGAGCGUGACUGGGGUUCCCUAGGGCUCUGCGCUCCCAGGUGGGUCACCCUGCGUCUCUCUCCUCAGCCCAGGCCUUGCUGCUUCCCAUAACAGUUACAAGCACUGGCUCUGCCAUCGGAGAUGAAAGGGUACACGUGGGGUUCUCCGACCUUCCAGCCGUGUGACCUCGGACUAGACCUCUGUUUGCUUAGCUCCCUCCACUUGCCUUCCUCGAAUGUGGGAACCCCGGACUCUGUCUUGGAAAAGACCUGGCCUCUCCUUCUCUGGGUUGGGUCCAUCCGUGGGCUCCCGCAGAGGCCUGUGGUUGCAGAGACCGGAAGCUGC